CCUAUGGAGAGUACAAGAACUUGUGAGUAGUAUAUGAAGAAUUUCAAUAUGAAAGCAUACUCGACGAAGUAGGAA
RNAcentral lists this non-coding RNA (75 nucleotides) under unclassified sequences. Its description in RNAcentral is "RAGATH-18 RNA". It matches the Rfam family "RAGATH-18 RNA". From Rfam's summary of the family: Actinobacteria, Firmicutes, Fusobacteria, Thermotogae (1 example). Nearby to self-cleaving ribozyme genes The record is from Rfam by way of RNAcentral.